This is an unclassified non-coding RNA of Aotus nancymaae (Ma's night monkey), 102 nucleotides long. It matches the Rfam family "Y RNA". Rfam says of the family: Y RNAs are components of the Ro ribonucleoprotein particle (Ro RNP), in association with Ro60 and La proteins. The Y RNAs and Ro60 and La proteins are well conserved, but the function of the Ro RNP is not known. The record is from Ensembl. Lineage: Eukaryota; Metazoa; Chordata; Mammalia; Primates; Aotidae.
GGCAGGUCUGAGUGCAGUGCUGUUUACAACUCAUUGAUCAAAACCAGUGACAAAUUCCUUUCUUCCUUUUCCAUUCCUGCUACUUCACUUAACUAUCCUCAA